UUGCCGACCACGGUCCUAGUUCAUAGGUCGAUGCUCCACCACUGAGCCACACCGGCUGGGCUCAACACGUACUUCUUUACGAACAAGUUAGAUAGUAACGAGGAGGCGGGCUCCGUGGAACUGCCAAGCGGUGAUGCGCACAAUACCUGGGGUUCCCACCACAACUGUGCUAGGAAAACAGAUGUGACCUCAGCUGGUGAGGUCAGGGUUCGAGUCUGUGUGGAGACAGAGCGAAAUGCUCAAUGGCAGCUACAGUCAGUGAGAACCAGGAGGCAUGUUCUCCCGUCAGUCCGUGGCCCCUGAGUUCCCUCCGUGGAUUCCUGGCCGGAGGCUCCCAGGUGAGGAAGGCCGGCUCCAGGCCCAGGUGGGCAGCGCGCAGGCUCCUGCGGAUUCAGCACUCACAGUAAGGGCCUCUUCUGUCCCCUCCUGAGCGGAGCCAAGGAAAGGCAGGUGACGGGAACACCAGUGCCGGGCAGCGCGGUGGGACACACACCAGCUUUGGGGCGGAGCCGGCACAGACACCCUGGACCUGCCUCCACCAGCUCCCCGGGCUCAGGCCUCCACGGAGGGAGGGAGCGACCGCCGCGUGUGCAGGUGUUUGCUAUUUGGAGUCGGUGGCCGGAGGCUGUUUUGCCAGCUGGGAUCCGCCUUCGUUCUCCUGGCUGCUGGUUUUGGUUUCGUGCCCUCAUCCGUGGGUCUCGGCAGCAGCUGGAGACCCAGCCCUUCCCACCCACUCCGGGGGUAACCCCCAAUUCCUCCCACCAGGCUUCCUGUGACCCCGGGAGCUAUGAUUCGUUUCCCAAACUGGAGUGCCUCUUCAGGGAGAACCAGGAUCCCCGUCACGGAGUCUGUGAUUGGUAGAGGGCAGGUGAGUUCCCCCUGAGAAAACCCGGCACGGCCCACACAGACUAGAAGAGAUUACUCAUGGGGUCAGUUCUCCUCACACAGAAUUCCCUCUGCCCCCCCAAUAACCCAUUUUCCAUGUCUCUGUUCCUAUGGCCCUUAAAGGAAGAGUCAUCGAAUAGAAACGAGACCGUCACACACGCGUGGAAGAGGAGAGCUUCUGAGUAAAGGAACAAGAAUGAAAUUGACCAAAUGGCAUUUCUAAGGAAAUGACCCCAACGUGUACCCCUCACAGCGCAGGAGUGAGGAGGAACUUAGCUUCAGCAAGGCCCGGAUUCAUGGACACAAUUCUCCGUGAAAAAUCCAAGCCCAGGAACCAUGGGCCUCCCGUGGCAGAUGUCUGGUGACUUCGGGAUCCGCAGCACCUUCAAGCUGGGGAGGCCCUCCCCCAACCCAGCAAGACCCCCACCCCGUGCGACGCAGGAGUCAACUGAGGCCCACAGACCGGAAGGCUUUGCUCGCAGUCUGCAAUUUCCCUUCUUCCCUCCAUUUCUGCCUGCCCCCCGCCCACAGGACACCCCUGCAGCUCCCCCAUCAACCAAGUGCCCAGCUAACUAGUGACCGGGUAUGCGCUUUACCCUCCCUCCCCCUCCUCCGCUCCCCACAGCCUCUCACACCCACUUACUCAACUGAGUUGGUGUUAUUUAAAAGUAGCUCGCCCAGCUGGAGUUGGUGUUAUUUAAAAGUAGCUCGCCCAGCUGGUGUGGGUGAGCGUCGACCUAUAAACCAGGAGGUCACGGUUCAAUUCCUGGUUAG
Molecule: long non-coding RNA, 1659 nt
Organism: Myotis brandtii (Brandt's bat)
Lineage: Eukaryota; Metazoa; Chordata; Mammalia; Chiroptera; Vespertilionidae
Exons: 3
Source: RefSeq, a predicted model, not a curated record